RNAcentral lists this long non-coding RNA (264 nucleotides) under Mytilus galloprovincialis (Mediterranean mussel). The record is from RNAcentral. Lineage: Eukaryota; Metazoa; Mollusca; Bivalvia; Mytilida; Mytilidae.
CCAAUAUUUCUUUUCGGAAAAAAAGUAGACUUCACCAUCUAGAAGAGGAGGUGGUCAGUGCCAAAGUUCAAGUCGACUAAGCGCAUCCAUGCACCAACGUUGUAAAAUUACCUAAUUGGUUUCUUCAACAGUGAGAUUUAUAGCUUUUAAGAGGGACAGAGGAUACCAAGGGGUCGAUAGUAUAUCAGAAGAAACACGAAGGAAAGACCGACAAAAUACAACACAGAAAACCGAGGACUGAUCAAACGAACCAUAAUAAAAGCC